UGCCAGACUCCUACGGGAGGCAGCAGUGGGGGAUAUUGCACAAUGGGGGGAACCCUGAUGCAGCGACGCCGCGUGGGUGAAGGAGCGUUUCGGCGCGUAAAGCCCUAUCGGCAGGGAAGAAGGAGGACGGUACCUGACUAAGAAGCCCCGGCUAACUACGUGCCAGCAGCCGCGGGAAUACGUAGGGGGCAAGCGUUAUCCGGAUUCACUGGGUGUAAAGGGAGCGUAGACGGCGACGCAAGUCUGGAGUGAAAGCCCGGGGCCCAACCCCGGGACUGCUCUGGAAACUGCGGCGCUGGAGUACGGGAGGGGCAGGCGGAAUUCCUGGUGUAGCGGUGAAAUGCGUAGAUAUCAGGAGGAACACCGGUGGCGAAGGCGGCCUACUGGACUGCAACUGACGUUGAGGCCCGAAAGCGUGGGGAGCAAACAGGAUUAGAUACCCCCGUAGA
This 449-nucleotide ribosomal RNA is filed under the name uncultured bacterium. RNAcentral describes it as "partial 16S ribosomal RNA". It matches the Rfam family "Bacterial small subunit ribosomal RNA", at positions 329 to 794 of the family's 1533-position model. The record is from RNAcentral.